CCUCCUCCCAUAAUGCUGUGCAUUGUGCAUGAUGUAAAAGACAUCAUGAUCCAUCUCCUUCCUUCCACUGUGACUCAUUGGUCCAUGAUGCUGGGAUGAAACACAUUUAAACAGCUUUAUUUAAAGAAAGAACAGUGUCAAAAACGCUUGUUGAAUCUGAGGCAGCCUCUGGUACCAGGUGUAGAAUCCCCUCUCGUUCAGCUCUAACAUCCUCCUGAUGAUCCUCUUCAUAUCCCUCUCUCUAUUUCUGGGGUGCGUGGACCUGUUUGAUACGUAUCUACUGUUACCAAGUGAUGUUUCCUUCCUUCUCGUGUCCGGACCGUCUGAUGACUGAAUGUGUGAUGAGAAGACGUGUCAGCGGGGAAUCACUUCUUUUCAUCGACGCGUCAGUACACAACAGCUUCCAUCAGAGGUCAGAGGUCAGAGGUCCGUGCAUGUGACACUAAACUCAGGAACCAGGAACUUACACCUGAUCAAAACUUCACAGUCACAACAACGACGCGUCUCUGUUCUCUGGUUUUUAUUAAGCCCUGCGGGACACUAACGUGGGGAGGGAGACAUGUUGUCUUGCCACCGAAGACUUCAGACAAAAAUUCCCGAA
Molecule: long non-coding RNA, 601 nt
Organism: Mugil cephalus (flathead mullet)
Lineage: Eukaryota; Metazoa; Chordata; Actinopteri; Mugiliformes; Mugilidae
Exons: 4
Source: RefSeq, a predicted model, not a curated record